This 73-nucleotide transfer RNA is filed under the name Ligilactobacillus ubinensis. It matches the Rfam family "tRNA". From Rfam's summary of the family: Transfer RNA (tRNA) molecules are approximately 80 nucleotides in length. Their secondary structure includes four short double-helical elements and three loops (D, anti-codon, and T loops). The record is from Rfam by way of RNAcentral. Lineage: Bacteria; Bacillati; Bacillota; Bacilli; Lactobacillales; Lactobacillaceae.
GGGGCCUUAGCUCAGAUGGGAGAGCACCUGCUUUGCAAGCAGGGGGUCAUCGGUUCGAUUCCGUUAGGCUCCA